UGGGGAAUUUUUCGCAAUGGGGGAAACCCUGACGAAGCAACGCCGCGUGGAGGAUGAAGGCCUUCGGGUCGUAAACUCCUGUCGACCGGGACGAACGCUAUUGGGCCCAAUACGCCCGAUAGUCGACUGUACCGGUGGAGGAAGCCACGGCUAACUCUGUGCCAGCAGCCGCGGUAAUACAGAGGUGGCAAGCGUUGUUCGGAAUUACUGGGCGUAAAGGGCGCGUAGGCGGUCCUGUCAGUCCCUUGUGAAAUCCCCGGCUCAACUGGGGAACUGCAAGGGAUACAGCAGGGCUUGAGUUCGGGAGAGGGAAGCGGAAUUCCAGGUGUAGCGGUGAAAUGCGUAGAUAUCUGGAGGAACACCGGUGGCGAAGGCGGCGUUCUGGACUGCAACUGACACUGAAGAACGAAAGCCAGGGUAGCAAACGGGAUUAGAUACCCCAGUAGUCCCUGAGCGGGCUGGCAAGGCGCAU
Molecule: ribosomal RNA, 472 nt
Filed under: uncultured bacterium
Lineage: Bacteria
Description: bacterial SSU rRNA
Rfam family: Bacterial small subunit ribosomal RNA
Source: RNAcentral